Molecule: non-coding RNA, 160 nt
Filed under: Thomasclavelia cocleata
Lineage: Bacteria; Bacillati; Bacillota; Erysipelotrichia; Erysipelotrichales; Coprobacillaceae
Source: RNAcentral
UUGAUAGUGAUAUUAUGGGUGAAGGAAGUGGUGUAACAAUUCUUUUGAGCGUACGAACAGAAACUUGAUGAGGCUAAAUGGUGGAUAAGGUUGCUAAGCAAACCGAAGUCCAAAAGGUAAACGUAAAACCAAGACGUUGUGAAAGAAACUUGUUUGUAAU